Molecule: ribosomal RNA, 253 nt
Filed under: uncultured bacterium
Lineage: Bacteria
Description: partial 16S ribosomal RNA
Rfam family: Bacterial small subunit ribosomal RNA
Source: RNAcentral
UACAGGGGGGGCAAGCGUUGUUCGGAAUUACUGGGCGUAAAGGGCUCGUAGGCGGCCAACUAAGUCCGACGUGAAAUCCCAAAGCUUAACUUUGGAACUGCGUCGGAUACUGGAUGGCUUGAAUUCGGGAGAGGGAUGCAGAAUUCCACGUGUAGCAGUGAAAUGCGUAGAUAUGUGGAGGAACACCGAUGGCGAAGGCAGCCCCCUGGGAUGUGACUGACGCUCAUGUACGAAAGCGUGGGGAGCAAACAGG